Long non-coding RNA from Phasianus colchicus (ring-necked pheasant), 2448 nucleotides. NCBI's taxonomy places the organism in Eukaryota, Metazoa, Chordata, Aves, Galliformes, Phasianidae. The record is from Ensembl.
GCAGAUGACACUUACCAAAAGCAGAUCAGAACAUGAGAAGGCCUUUUGCUCUUGGAGGUUCUGUUUUUAUAGAGUGAGAUGUAGAUGCAUUUAACGCUCAUAUCCUCUAGUCAGGAUGAGUUAAAUUUUUUCAGGAGAUCUUAGCCUUGGUCACUGCAUUUCUCAGCAAACAGCAUAAUACCUGCAUCUUCUCUUUAAACUGGAGUUGACCUUCCAGCUUCAGCUAGAGCAGUGUUGAGAGGCAUUGGACAGCUGCUAUAUUGCAAAUCAAAGCUGGCUGCCCUUUUCAAUAGGCUUGGCAGUGUAGCCUAGUGCUUUCAGAGAGAGAGUUCAAAGGAUAGCCUUUAGAGUAGCAUAAGAAAUGGUCAGCAAGGAUCAUCUUAUCAUUAAUUGUUGUUUUCUUUUUUUUUUUCCAGAUGCCUUUUCUGAUGACUGGAAAAAAGAAUUUUGGAAACUACCAUAUUCCUUGCUUUGUUGCUUCUAUCUUCCAAAUUCUGCUGCUGCUGAGACAGAUCUCUGCUCUAACAUGGCCAGUCCUAACUCUGGAAAGGCGUAAUCCCUUCCAGAACAAGAUGCACUGCUUUUACCUUGGGAUUCUGUUUCAUUUCAAAGAUUUCUCUUUCAUAUUUGCUAUGGCUGCAUUUCACUGCGCAGUAUGGAUUCGUCUUGUGCUCUCCAGGAGACACCCCCUGCUCGGCACGUUUCUAAUUCGUGGGGAUUGAGGAUAAAUUUCUCCCUGGGAUCUUCCACAGCUCCUUUGAUCAGUCUUCCCAGACCUCUCCCUGAAAUGUGCCAACAGAUCUGGUCCAAGUUAUUAAGAGUAAGUAACAGAGUGAAGUGUGGUCCUUUCAGCCACCUCCACACCCAGGUUUCAGUAUAAAACAUCACUGGUGUGAGUGCAAAGUUAUUCAAGAGAAUUAUAGCAUGACCUGUUUUGUUGCCUAUACUAGAGCUACUUGCUGCUCUAAACCAUGUAUUUCUGCUGUUGCACCCUUCUCAUGGACUUUAUAAACACGGUAGUGUGGCUGAUCCAAACUCCAGGGCUCAUCACUUUAUUGCUAGGGCCAAAUGUGGUUUGAUUCGUUGUGUUUUGCUAUCAGGAAAGUAUCCUGCCCUUAGUGCUGUCUGAGACUGUACUCAUUCUUUGAGAUGGAAGGUCCAUUUUGGACCUGCUACUGACUGCUCAUGCAAAUCUGCUGUCUUUGCAGAGAGUAGAUCUCUGAAUCUACUGACAGUCUUGGCCAAGAGAUAGUCCUGCAUGAUGCUUUUUUUGUUAACGUGAGCUUAUCCUCAUAUAAAAUAGAUGCAAUUGCAGCUGGGAAAUGCCUGUAAAAAUCUCAUCCUGUAAUGCUGCAUCUAAUUUGUUAUCAGGGCUUCUCUGAACAGCUUUGACAGUUAGCUGGAGAUGUGUCACUGACAGCAAGUAACAAAACGUAGCUCUGACACAAGGAAAUAUUAUAAACUUUCUAGAUAAGAUCAGCUUCAGCAGUGAAUCAAUCUAGCCCUAUUGGACCCGGAGAGUAUACAAGAACUAAACUUGUUGCUUUUCUUGUAAGUACCCCUAAAAGGGAUUAAGUUUUUAAGAUUUGGCUACAUGCAUUUCAGAUACUAAUAUGCUGUUUUGGUUCUGUGCCUGAAAAAGAUUUAGUGGAAUUUGGAGAGCAGCUGGACACUAAAGCUUUAGGAGAUGAAGCGUCAAAGCAGGGCUUGUAGUAACCAACAUCCUGUCAGCAUAUCCAAAUGUUCUAUAUUUAACUUACUGUUAAAAUUAUGUUUUGUUAUUUUUUGUCUACUUUCAGCAAAAAAGUUUGGUUUCUGCAAGAUUAGAGAACAAGGCGAAUUCAGUUAAGGCUAUAAAAUUUAUCUCAUUGCUUUCUUUUUCGCUUGCUGUUGAUCUUAGGGCAGCUGUAAGGGCAAAUGGAAAAGAUAGGUAUUAUAUUUCAAAGGCAAAGUUAUGAAAGUCUAAACUGCAUCCAAAGUAUAUUUUACUACUAAUAAUGAGAACUGGAUGAAGAGUGUUUAAAAAAAUAUGAACCUGCCUCAACUACAUUGGUUCAGAAAUAACGAAUCUAAUGCAGUUUUCCAAAGAAUAAUUGAUAUUAUAUAAUAAUAACUGGCAGUUUAUGUCAUGAAAGUGACACUUGACACUUUGCUGCUAACCAGUUUAACAUCAUCAAUUAAAACAUCACUUGUGUAAUGACAUUUUAGUAACCGGUUUCAUAUCAUAAAUUAUGACAUCACCUUCUUUUAUAGCAUCAGGGUUGAAUGAAAGGCUUUCUUUAGAAAAAGGGAAAAAAGGAGGAAAUCUUAACACUGUCUCUCAUUUUGUGCUCAUACAUGGUGUGUAUGUCCUAGCCCUCUGGUCACUCAUUAGAGAGCAUCUGAGAGCUGAAAAGCUGCAAACUGGUGUGAAAUAAACAUUUUAGAAGAAUGUGCUUUGGGUUAGCA